UAAUCUCAUGCGGUAACUCUGAGAGAGUGUAUGUCUCUCGGAGUGUCACGUGAGAUAUG
RNAcentral lists this microRNA precursor (59 nucleotides) under Triops cancriformis. RNAcentral describes it as "microRNA tcf-mir-3477 precursor". Lineage: Eukaryota; Metazoa; Arthropoda; Branchiopoda; Notostraca; Triopsidae. The record is from miRBase by way of RNAcentral.